RNAcentral lists this long non-coding RNA (594 nucleotides) under Mytilus galloprovincialis (Mediterranean mussel). Lineage: Eukaryota; Metazoa; Mollusca; Bivalvia; Mytilida; Mytilidae. The record is from RNAcentral.
ACAGAAAUUUUCAAAAAAAGAACAAAAAGAUGACCAAUGUAAAAGUUAAAUAGCACAAAUGCCGUACUCUGAGGAAAGUUCAAAACGGAGUGCCCUAUUCAAAUGGCAAAAUCAAAAGCUCAAACACAUCAAGCUGAUGGAUAACGAAUGUCGUAUUCCUGACUUGGUGCAGGCAUUUUCUUAUGUAGAAAACCCUGGUUUUACAGCUAUUUAAAGUUCUCAAUUGUAUGAGAGUCGAAUAAUAUUUUAUUAAAUUGACAGCGAAAUGUGAACAAAACAAACAGACAAGAAAAGAAAAAAUGUCAAAAAUAAGGUACAACAGGCAACAUUAUAUUAAAAUAAAUAUGCCAAAAGAGAAUAAAACAAACAGGAAUAUAGUAAAGCACAUUAUCAAAAACGGAAGAAAAGAAAACACAAAUUUACCAUUUACCACAAUAACACUAUGACGGAGUGGAUAAAUUCCGGUCAAGUCAAUGAAUAUUACCAAAACUAAACUAAUUUACAGUACAACUAAUAAUUUGCAAAGACAAAUAAAAGACAUAUAUAACACUUUUUAUUAAGAUGAUAAACAAUAAAAUCCAUUCUUCAAGACCA